AGGGUCAACACCCCAGACCUAGCAUUCACCUGGACUGUAAACUUUCAUAAGGUUGUGACGGUUGGCUGCUCAUUCAUGUCUCCAGCAUCUUGAGUAAAGCUCUGGUUUCUGCUCAGAAUAAUGACACAGGAAUGAGGUUUAUCAGAUUUCCAAGAACACUCUUCAUAUAUGGGAAGAUGUAGAUCCACUUGAAGAUCAUGAGCCAGAAGGAAAUGAAGUCUAGUGAAUUCUGAGAGAACAGAACAAUUGAUAACCAUCAUGAAGUGGUAUUAAAAGGAGGAAAAAAGUCACCUCAUAUCGAAACUGAAGCAGAUGACAUUGUAAGUCUUUUCAUGUGCUUUACUACCAGUGCACUUAAUGUAGCAUCUAAGUGAUUUGGGGAAAGUAUAUAGCUAGAAUCAACAAAUGUUUAAAACAGUAGACUGUCAAUUGUAAUUUGCAUUAUAACACUUCCUGAAUUAUGAGUGAUGUUUUUCUGCCUACCAUUGUGGGUAUUCAGAUGUAAUUUCUGGGGAAAAAAUACUAUCAUGGCUCUUCCAAUACCCACUCCUAUCACUCCUAAAGAUUAUUUUAUACUAUGUAUUAUGGGUUUAAAUUUAAUAUAAACAUAGGAAGAGACAAAAUCAUUAAGUGGUGAAAUAUGGGCUUUUUACUAUGUAGAAAGAAGAAAAAGCUGCAGUAUUCCUGGGGAACAAAGAGAUUUUGAACUAACUUUAGUUAGUUCCCAGUUUAAAUCCUAUACUAUUUGUACUUUAUGGUUUUGCUCAUGUCUAGUAAUACCAAAAAGACUGUUUCUUUAUAUAAGCAACUUGGAAGUUUCAUUGUAAGAAACCCAACUGGUGGCAGAGAAAAAUAAAUUAUAAAUUUGUUUUAAUAACACCACAUGGUUAUGACAGAGGAGGAAUGAGUUUGGAUAUAAUGUGUACUACUUGGUUUGCCUUCCAUCACAAUCAUUCUGGACCCAUACCCAAGUUCUCAGGAGAAAAAAUUGCAACGAAAGACUUUUACCAUUGAAUCAGGAAAGAAAUCGGGAGUUCUAAAGUGGUACUAAAUUGUGGACAUGUAUAAACAGCCUAGAACGAAGAGUUGAGAGUAUUUACAUAUAACAACAUUAUAUAGAUGUAUAUCAGCUUGGAAGAGAAAUUAAGUGGCAUAUAUUUCACCCUUGAAUUUUAAGUACAACAAG
Heterocephalus glaber (naked mole-rat) is the source of this 1186-nucleotide long non-coding RNA. The record is from Ensembl. Lineage: Eukaryota; Metazoa; Chordata; Mammalia; Rodentia; Bathyergidae.